RNA transcript from Gorilla gorilla gorilla (western lowland gorilla), 1918 nucleotides. It is a transcript of the gene named programmed cell death protein 2-like, with no coding region annotated. The record is from RefSeq and is a predicted model, not a curated record. Lineage: Eukaryota; Metazoa; Chordata; Mammalia; Primates; Hominidae. The transcript has a single exon.
AUGGCUGCCGCCCUCGCCGGACCUGUGUAUCUGGCCAUCGCCAACUCGGCGCCGGCGGGCGAAUGCGCAGCGAGCAGCUCCCCAGCAGGCUGGGCGGGCGGCCAGCGUGGCUGGGCGUGGCUGGGCGCGGCCGGGCUGCCGGGGCUCCCGCCCCUGGCCUGAGAGCUGUGCGACCGUCGCUCUUCUUCCGGCGGCAGGUGUAUGCGUCGCUGCCCGGCCGCGCAGACGCCUUCCACCGCGGCAUCUUCCUCUUCUGCUGCCACGAGCCGCCGUGCUGUGCCGCCCUGCGAGUUUCUAGGAAUCAGCUACCCAGGAAAAAUGAUUUUUACUCAUAUGAGCCACCUUCUGAGACUCCUUCCCCAGAAACAGGAGAAUCGGUGUAUCUCCAACUUAAGUCUGGUGCUCAUCUCUGCAGGGUUUGUGGCUGUUUAGGCCCCAAAACUUGCUCCAGAUGCCACAAAGCGUAUUACUGCAGCAAGGAGCAUCAGACCCUAGACUGGAGAUUGGGACAUAAGCAGGCUUGUGCACAACCAGAUCAUUUGGACCUUACAACUCCAGACCACAGCUUCCUUUUUCCAGAAUUUGAAAUUGUAAUAGGAACAGAAGACGAGAUUAUGCCUGAGGUUGCGGAAAAGGAAGAUUAUUCAGAUAUUAUAGGGAGCAUGGUUAAGCAGUUUCAGGACUUCAUUCAUUAAGUGGUUAAACUUAAUGCUUGGAAGAAAGGUCUCAAAUGUGUCUAGAAGAGAGGUACUGAGAGGAAGACUCACUUUGGAGGCUGGGGCCUACAAUUUUCAGGGAUUGCCUCCGGUGAAAAUAUACUUCCUGGACUUUGUUUCCUGACAUAUAUCAGGUGUGUUCUGCUCCCUAUAAAGACAAGGGGAGGCGGGUAUCCAGAUGGUCCCACGAGUAGGGCUACACAAGAUGCUGGAGGCUUGGUAAGUGCCUCUGGGUCCCAGAUCUUUUUCUCAGGUCGGGAUAGUGUGAGUGCCUAGCACAGUGUCAGGCAUGCAGAAGGGCCCCUUAAAAGUUUCUCUUUCAUCUGGCUAGUUUUAGAUACAGAAUUUUGUCAGUUUAACUGCAGUGCAUACUCUUGGGUAGUGCUUGUGCUGACCAAGUAUCUUAGAGGUUUAUUUUAUUAUAGUAGCCAACAUUUAUCCAGCACUUAACCUUAUAUAAAGGGCUGUUUUUGCAUGAGCUAAUUAAAAUCCUGAGAGUAGACCGGUAAGUCAGAAACUCUGCCCCGUUUUGAAGGUGAGGAAAUUGAGGUUCUGGGUGUAACUUGCUUUGGUCACAUAAUGUUAAGUUUUACAAUUUGAGCCUUGAUCCAUACGCAAAGCCACCAUAAACAUUAGAUUUAUAGACUCAAAAUGAAAACAUCAGCUUACUGGUUUGUAGUUCAUACCAGUCAUACAUUCCAAAACAUGUUUGAGUCUUACUCUGUGCCUGAUCUUGUGCUUGAUAAUAUGGAUAUAAUGGGAAGCAACCCUCCAGUGGUCAUGCUCACAGUCUCAUGGAGGACCCCGAAUAAUACUUACGGAAGAUAAAUUCCAUGUAAUGACUGAUAAGAGUACAAUACAGGUGUCGUGGGAACAUGUGACAUCACUGAAGACUGCCUGGAAGGGGACACACAUGUGUUCAUACCAAUAAGAUGAAAAGGAUAAAGAAUGAAAAUGCUUACCUUUAGGAGAAGGAAGAGCCUAGAGUAGGAGGGUCGAGGAUGAAACCUGGACUUCAAAUAUGCCUUGUUUAUGUAAAUGUGACUUCGGAACUGUGUGAGUAUUUUAAGAUACUAAAAUCAGUUUUAAAAUAAGUUUUAAGAAGCAGUCCCUAAUCAUCAAAAGUAAAAAACUCUUGAUGUAGUCAUAUACCCACACUAAGAACUCUUCUAGGUGACUUCAAAACAUAGGGCAGUACAUCU